AAGGGCACCACAAGAACGCGUGGAGCAUGUGGCUUAAUUUGACCCAACGCGGGAAAUCUUGCCAGGUCCGGACAUAUUGAGGAUUGACAGGCGAUAGGAUAUAUUAUUAUUAUAUAUAUUCAUAAAAAUGAUAGUCCUUUCAUGAUUAUAUGAUAGGUGGUGCAUGGCCGUUCUUAGUUCGUGGAGUGAUCUGUCUGCUUAAUUGCGUUUCAGAUAUAAUAAUAAUAUUUAAUAUAUAUUUUUAUUAAUAUUAUUAUGUAUAUAUAUUGUUCUGCCUUUUUUUAAAGGAUUUAAAGUGAACAUAUAUAUAUUAUUAUAUAUUAUAUUAUAUAUAUUAUUAUAUAUUAAAAUGAAUGCAACGAACGUGACCG
Molecule: ribosomal RNA, 371 nt
Filed under: Foraminifera environmental sample
Lineage: Eukaryota; Foraminifera
Description: SSU rRNA
Rfam family: Eukaryotic small subunit ribosomal RNA
Source: RNAcentral